GGAGAGAUGGUCGAGCUGGUUUAAGGCACCGGUCUUGAAAACCGGCGUAGGUGUAAGCCUACCGUGAGUUCGAAUCUCACUCUCUCCGCCA
RNAcentral lists this transfer RNA (91 nucleotides) under Clostridiaceae bacterium. RNAcentral describes it as "tRNA-Ser". It matches the Rfam family "tRNA". Rfam says of the family: Transfer RNA (tRNA) molecules are approximately 80 nucleotides in length. Their secondary structure includes four short double-helical elements and three loops (D, anti-codon, and T loops). Further hydrogen bonds mediate the characteristic L-shaped molecular structure. tRNAs have two regions of fundamental functional importance: the anti-codon, which is responsible for specific mRNA codon recognition, and the 3' end, to which the tRNAs corresponding amino acid is attached (by aminoacyl-tRNA synthetases). tRNAs cope with the degeneracy of the genetic code in two manners: having more than one tRNA (with a specific anti-codon) for a particular amino acid; and 'wobble' base-pairing, i.e. permitting non-standard base-pairing at the 3rd anti-codon position. The record is from RNAcentral. Lineage: Bacteria; Bacillati; Bacillota; Clostridia; Eubacteriales; Clostridiaceae.